UGGGUUCCUCUCUCCCUCCCGCCGAGCUUGCGAGGCGGGAUUCGGCGCUUUUGAGAAAAAUAAGAGUAUAUUUUCUAUUGCGCCGGUGGGAAAUUUGGUGAAGUCGCGGGAGUGUUGUUCUCUUUGAGAAACACUCACCGGACGCUGAGUGCGGAGGCACCGGACGCUGGCCUCAGCGUCCGGUGUGCUUGACCCUGCUAGGGUUGAGCACCGGACGCACUCUGGUAGCGUCCGGUGGUUAGCGUCCGGUGUGAGGGGUUUUUGCAACCCUCUCUGCGCACGAGUCCGGUGAGCACCGGACCGUCCGGUGCCCAGCGUCCGGUGAGG
Molecule: long non-coding RNA, 327 nt
Filed under: Sorghum bicolor (sorghum)
Lineage: Eukaryota; Viridiplantae; Streptophyta; Magnoliopsida; Poales; Poaceae
Description: long non-coding RNA (SBIC_LNC001732)
Source: RNAcentral